GAGACCCACGCCAACAGUUGCCAGCACGUUCUCUGGAAUGGUGGGGACACUGUUGGGACCGCCUCUGCUAAAGAGGAGGAAGGAAUGGGCAACGGUAGGUCAGCAUGCCCCGAAUUACCCGGGCUACACGCGGGCUACAAUGGACAGGACAAUGGGAAUCGACACCGAGAGGUGAAGGCAAUCCCCUAAACCUGCCCUUAGUUCGGAUUGUGGGCUGCAACUCGCCCACAUGAAGCUGGAAUCCGUAGUAAUCGCGGAUCAACAUUCCGCGGUGAAUAU
Molecule: ribosomal RNA, 279 nt
Filed under: uncultured archaeon
Lineage: Archaea
Description: partial 16S rRNA
Rfam family: Archaeal small subunit ribosomal RNA
Source: RNAcentral